Molecule: RNA transcript, 2746 nt
Organism: Cyprinodon variegatus (sheepshead minnow)
Lineage: Eukaryota; Metazoa; Chordata; Actinopteri; Cyprinodontiformes; Cyprinodontidae
Gene: il20rb
Gene name: interleukin-20 receptor subunit beta-like
Exons: 9
Source: RefSeq, a predicted model, not a curated record
UCUCAGCAGAUCACUAUUGGAUUGCAUCUCAAUCUUCUUACUUUCACAGUUUUCAUCUAUACCUUCAGACACUGAUCAACAUUAGCGCCAGACAGCAGAGGAUGGGUUAGACUGAGGCUUUCAGACUUUCCUCCAGGAACAAAAAAAGAAAACCGUGUUUCCUUUCAUGAGCUCUGAAAGACACGAGUGACUUUCUUUUUUCAUGUAUUGUGGUGAUGCCAUCAAGAAAGACCCAGGAGCUGCUCAUAAUGGUCAUCCUGCUUGAGUUUACCAAGGAUAUUUGGAUGCUGCCAGCUCCGGAGACAGUCUUCAUGGACUCUGCAAACAUGAGACACGUCUUGAGGUGGACACACCCGGAGGCUUCAUGCAACACCACGGUCGUUUACUCUGUUCAGUACCAGGGCGAGUUUGAGCUUGUGAUCAAGAACGGCAGUUGGAUUAAUGCUCCUGACUGUCAGAAGAUUCCACACACUGACUGUGACCUGACCUUCGACCUGGGAUCUGACUCUGACUACAACGUGCGGGUCAGGGCCCAGUGCGGCUCCAGGCUCUCCGCCUGGACCAAAUUCCCGUUCAACAGGAACAACGUAACUCCUCCUGUUCCUGAUAUAAAGGUGACGACAGCAGGUGACGCUCUCCUGGUGUCGGUCAGGAAGUUUCCUCUGACAGCCAUCACCAAGGUGGUGGUGUGGAAGAAAGACGGAGAGCAGCAGGCUUCUGUCAGUUUGAUGGCAGCAGACCAGGAGGUGUUGCAUUUCGCCGCCCUGCAGGAGGGAGCAGUGUACUGUGUCAAGGCUCAGGUUUUCCUCAAGUCAGACAUGCACAGUGGAUACACGGACAGCUACUGUGUGUCCAUCACAGCUCCUGGUGCUCCUGCAUGGAAGGAGCCCACCGCAGUGACUGUGACAGUGGUCAUCAUGUUGGGUCUUCUGAUUGGUUUCUUCUGGUCCAUCGUCCACUGUUAUCCAGACUCCUGUCAAAAAUAUUUCCAGAAAGCAACGUUGCCACAUUUUCUGCAGGUUUGCAUGCAGGUAACUAACUAAUGCUGAAACCAAGGUCCAAUCGUUUGAUGGAGUAUCAGGCGAGAAAGAAAGCUUCGAGCUCCGACCAGCAGAUGAUGGUCGACCAGCAUCACCAAACAGCAACCAGCAACAGAGUCCUCUUCGACAAACUGCCUGAUUUAAUGUUGGUCCUAAAAGAUUUCCUUAUUUGUCACACCAAAGCCAAAGUAUAACUUCAUAUGAUGCUCAAAUUUGCUCAUUUUAGAGAGAAAACUUUGACUUCCAGACCACAAUGAUCCCAGAUCCUCAGGAGCCCUGCGAGGAGACCCCCCACCUACUGAAGGCUUUCACAGUGGAGGAAACGUGACCAAAAGUUAAGGCUGCUAUCACUGCAUGUUUAAGGAAGAAGGCUCCAAGCUGUUAGAGCUGCAUUUAGAUCGCCAUGGAAAUGACUUUCCCACGAGACAGGGAAGACUUAAUGGAAGGACUUUCCAUGUCCCCAUACAUCUCACAGGAGGAGGUGCAUCAAGUCCUAUCAUCCUCUAUUUGAAUGAGAAAAGGGUUUACAGAAGAGACUGCAGGUGGAUGCAGAUGAGAAUAGUUUCUGGCAGGAAUGAAGGAUUUUUUUUGUGCACAGGUGUUGUACAUGGUGUCAUGAUGAAAGGCCAUAAAAUGUUUAUUUAUACCUACUCUUUUUACAGGCAGUAAAGGAAUUAAACUGUUAUUCGCUAUCCCAGAUGGAAUGACAGAUUUAUAAAUAAUCAAAAAGGCUGUAAAAAUAACUAAGGAACAGCACGCUAGUUUUGAAGUUUUUAAUUUUUUAAUGUAUAAAUGUUUCUAUGGUUUACCUACACCAGCUUCUGUUGAUUAAAUGGAUACAGAUGUUUAUUUCUGUAUUUUACAUAUUUAAAUCAAGACGUCACAUUUAAGGUGGCUUGAUGUUGUCUGUCAGAGUUUCAUGUUCUAACAGAUAAAACCUUUUCCAGGCUUGAGUCCGGUUCAAUGAUCUCCUGGAAUAUCCUGGGGGGAAAACAACGGCCAUGUUUACGUUAUUAGACCUGUGGUCCAGAGCAAAUUAAGCAGUUUUUCAGCUAUUUUAUUUUUGAACUGUUAGUUGUUUGUAUCAAUCAAAGGAAAGCAUUAUCGUUUUGAUUUAUUUUAAAGAUUACUUUUUUAUAUCCUCUUAAUCAUUAAGAGAUUAGAUCAGGUAAACAAAUUGGUGUGUUUUUAUCAGGGGUUUCACCCAGUCAGCCAAUCACCAUGGAGACACUUUCCUCCACACAAGAUGUUAUCUAAAGUAUUAUCUUUAUGACAUCACUCUGUAGACUAAACCUCAACAUUGGACAUGCACAGGUGCUUGUAUUUUAUUGUGCUUUUAUAUGUUUGACCCUUGUUUUGCCUGGAAAAACCUUGAAAAAAGUAAUUCUUCAUCCCACAUUUCCUGUACAUAAUUUACCCUGAAGGAAGAUGUUUAUAUGCCUUAGAACCUUUUUGGGUCAUUAGAACUGUAGCCGUCUUUAAGUAUGAUCCUUUUCACCUUCUACAUUCAGUCAACAGGAAGUCAACAUAGAAGAUAAAUCUGUCUUUCCUGCAUCAUUUAACUUUAGGAUUUAAAAGGUUUUCCAUCUACAGUCUUUUCAAUCACAGAUUUAUGUUUCAUCCUCCUUUUAAAAUGAAACUUUCUUCUCAUAUAAAAAUCCUUGAGUAUAUGUUAAAAGUUUUGGUUUACAAAGAUCGAAGUAAAU